This 497-nucleotide ribosomal RNA is filed under the name uncultured bacterium. Its description in RNAcentral is "partial 16S ribosomal RNA". It matches the Rfam family "Bacterial small subunit ribosomal RNA", at positions 28 to 507 of the family's 1533-position model. The record is from RNAcentral.
GAUGAACGCUGGCGGCGUGCCUAAUACAUGCAAGUCGAGCGAACGGACGAGACGCUUGCUUCUCUGAUGUUAGCGGCGGACGGGUGAGUAACACGUGGAUAACCUACCUAUAAGACUGGGAUAACUUCGGGAAAGCGUAGCUAACACCGGAUAAUAUUUUGAAACGCAUGGUUCAAAAGUGAAGGACGGUCUUGCUGUCACUUAUAGAUGGAUCCGCGCUGCAUUAGCUAGUUGGUAAGGUAACGGCUUACCAAGGCAACGAUGCAUAGCCGACCUGAGAGGGUGAUCGGCCACACUGGAACUGAGACACGGUCCAGACUCCUACGGGAGGCAGCAGUAGGGAAUCUUCCGCAAUGGGCGAAAGCCUGACGGAGCAACGCCGCGUGAGUGAUGAAGGUCUUCGGAUCGUAAAACUCUGUUAGUAGGGAAGAACAGAUGUGUAAGUAACUGUGCACAUCUUGACGGUACCUAAUCAGAAAGCCACGGCUAACUACGUG